RNAcentral lists this ribosomal RNA (738 nucleotides) under uncultured Russula. Its description in RNAcentral is "partial 28S ribosomal RNA". It matches the Rfam family "Eukaryotic large subunit ribosomal RNA", at positions 216 to 962 of the family's 3401-position model. Lineage: Eukaryota; Fungi; Basidiomycota; Agaricomycetes; Russulales; Russulaceae. The record is from RNAcentral.
GAAUCCCGUCUUUGGCACGGAUGCCUGGUGCUUCUGCGAUGCGCUCUCGAAGAGUCGAGUUGUUUGGGAAUGCAGCUCAAAAUGGGUGGUGAACUCCAUCUAAAGCUAAAUACUGGCGAGAGACCGAUAGCGAACAAGUACCGUGAGGGAAAGAUGAAAAGCACUUUGGAAAGAGAGUGAAACAGUACGUGAAAUUGUUGAAAGGGAAACGCUUGAAGUCAGUCACGUCGACCGAGACUCAGCCUUGCCUUGGCUUGGUGUACUUCUCGGCCCGACGGGUCAGCAUCAAUUUUGCCCUUCGGAUAAUGGCGAGAGAAAGGUGGCACCCUCACGGGUGUGUUAUAGUCUCCCGUCGGAUGCGAGGGUUGGGAUUGAGGAACUCGGCACGUACCGUGCUUAGGAUGUUGGCAUAAUGGCUUUAAACGACCCGUCUUGAAACACGGACCAAGGAGUCUAACAUGCCCGCGAGUGUUCGGGUGGAAAACCCGUGCGCGUAAUGAAAGUAAAAGUUGGGACCCCUGUCGUGGGGGGCACCGACGCCCGGACCAGACCUUCUGUGACGGAUCUGCGGUAGAGCGUGCAUGUUGGGACCCGAAAGAUGGUGAACUAUGCCUGAAUAGGGUGAAGCCAGAGGAAACUCUGGUGGAGGCUCGUAGCGAUUCUGACGUGCAAAUCGAUCGUCAAAUUUGGGUAUAGGGGCGAAAGACUAAUCGAACCAUCUAGUAGCUGGUUCCUGCC